This 326-nucleotide ribosomal RNA is filed under the name uncultured eukaryote. RNAcentral describes it as "partial 18S ribosomal RNA". It matches the Rfam family "Eukaryotic small subunit ribosomal RNA", at positions 1470 to 1796 of the family's 1831-position model. The record is from RNAcentral.
CCCUUAGAUGUUCUGGGAUGCACGCGCGUUACACUGAUUCGUUCAACGAGUUUAUGACCUUGCCUGAUGAGGUGGGGGAAUCUUUUCAAAUCGCAUCGUGAUGGGGAUAGAGUAUUGUAACUGUUAGUCUUCAACGAGGAAUUCCUAGUAAGUACGUGUCAUCAGCUCGUACUGAUUAUGUCCCUGCCCUUUGUACACACCGCCCGUCGCUCCUACCGAUUGAGUGCUCAGGUGAAUAGUAUGGACUGCAUCAGUGUUCGGUCUCCGAAUGUUGACGCGAGAAAUUCUGUGAAUCUUAUCACUUAGAGGAAGGAGAAGUCGUAACA